This 77-nucleotide ribosomal RNA is filed under the name Escherichia coli. RNAcentral's name for it is "partial 16S ribosomal RNA". It matches the Rfam family "Bacterial small subunit ribosomal RNA", at positions 1 to 77 of the family's 1533-position model. The record is from RNAcentral. RNAcentral also lists the same sequence under 38 other names. Lineage: Bacteria; Pseudomonadati; Pseudomonadota; Gammaproteobacteria; Enterobacterales; Enterobacteriaceae.
AAAUUGAAGAGUUUGAUCAUGGCUCAGAUUGAACGCUGGCGGCAGGCCUAACACAUGCAAGUCGAACGGUAACAGGA